Molecule: transfer RNA, 87 nt
Filed under: Ignavibacteria bacterium
Lineage: Bacteria; Pseudomonadati; Ignavibacteriota; Ignavibacteria
Description: tRNA-Ser
Rfam family: tRNA
About the family: Transfer RNA (tRNA) molecules are approximately 80 nucleotides in length. Their secondary structure includes four short double-helical elements and three loops (D, anti-codon, and T loops).
Source: RNAcentral
GGAGAGAUGCAGGAGUGGUUGAACUGGCACGCCUGGAGAGCGUGUGUACCCGUGAGGGUACCGUGGGUUCGAAUCCCACUCUCUCCG